This 76-nucleotide transfer RNA is filed under the name Escherichia coli. RNAcentral describes it as "tRNA-Ala". It matches the Rfam family "tRNA". Rfam says of the family: Transfer RNA (tRNA) molecules are approximately 80 nucleotides in length. Their secondary structure includes four short double-helical elements and three loops (D, anti-codon, and T loops). Lineage: Bacteria; Pseudomonadati; Pseudomonadota; Gammaproteobacteria; Enterobacterales; Enterobacteriaceae. The record is from RNAcentral. RNAcentral also lists the same sequence under 5 other names.
GGGGUUGUAGUUUAUUUGGUUAAAAUUCGAGCCUUGCAAGCUUGGGAACUGAGUUCGAUUCUCAGUGACUCCACCA